Molecule: ribosomal RNA, 347 nt
Filed under: Nephropsis aculeata
Lineage: Eukaryota; Metazoa; Arthropoda; Malacostraca; Decapoda; Nephropidae
Description: partial 12S ribosomal RNA
Rfam family: Microsporidia small subunit ribosomal RNA
Source: RNAcentral
GCUUUAAAUUCAAAGAAUUUGGCGGUAUUUUAGUCCCGUUAGAGGAACCUGUUCUUUAAACGAUAAAACACGUAAAAUCUUACUUAAUUUUGUUAUAGUUUGUAUACCGUCAUUAUUAAAUAAUCUUGAAAGAGCUAACUAUUGAGAUUAACAGAAAAGUUGAAUGUAUUAGAUCAAGGUGCAGCUUAUAGUUAAGUAGAAAUGGGUUACAAUAAUAUACACAUUUAGAACGAACUGCGAGUGGAAUUAUUUGUAGAGAAGGUGGAUGUAAUUGUAAAAAUAAUUUAAUAAGAUAUUUUGAGAUAGGCUCUAAAUUAUGUACAUAUCGCCCGUCGCUCGCGGGAAAA